UGGGGAAUUUUGCACAAUGGGGGAAACCCUGAUGCAGCGACGCCGCGUGAUUUAGAAGGCCUUCGGGUUGUAAAAAUCUUUUCUAUGGGAAGAAAAUGACAGUACCAUAGGAAUAAGGACCGGCUAAUCACGUGCCAGCAGCCGCGGUAAUACGUAAGGUCCGAGCGUUGUCCGGAAUCAUUGGGCGUAAAGGGUACGUAGGCGGGUAAGCAAGUUAGAAGUGAAAUCCUAUAGCUCAACUAUAGUAAGCUUUUAAAACUGCUCAGCUUGAGGUAUGGAAGGGAAAGUGGGAUUCCUAGUGUAGCGGUGAAAUGCGCAGAUAUUAGGAGGAAUACCGGUGGCGAAGGCGACUUUCUGGCCAUAACCUGACGCUGAGGUACGAAAGCGUGGGUAGCAAACAGG
This 402-nucleotide ribosomal RNA is filed under the name bacterium. RNAcentral describes it as "partial 16S ribosomal RNA". It matches the Rfam family "Bacterial small subunit ribosomal RNA", at positions 355 to 776 of the family's 1533-position model. The record is from RNAcentral.